CCCAGACUCCUACGGGAGGCAGCAGUGGGGGAUAUUGCACAAUGGGGGGAACCCUGAUGCAGCGACGCCGCGUGGGUGAAGGAGCGUUUCGGCGCGUAAAGCCCUAUCGGCAGGGAAGAAGGAGGACGGUACCUGACUAAGAAGCCCCGGCUAACUACGUGCCAGCAGCCGCGGUAAUACGUAGGGGGCAAGCGUUAUCCGGAUUUACUGGGUGUAAAGGGGGCGCAGACGGCAGCGCAAGCCAGGAGUGAAAGCCCGGGGCCCAACCCCGGGACUGCUCUUGGAACUGCGCGGCUGGAGUGCAGGAGGGGCAGGCGGAAUUCCUGGUGUAGCGGUGAAAUGCGUAGAUAUUAGGAGGAACACCAGUGGCGAAGGCGGCCUGCUGGACGAUGACUGACGCUGAGGCUCGAAAGCGUGGGGAGCAAACAGGAUUAGAUACCCUAGUA
This 446-nucleotide ribosomal RNA is filed under the name uncultured bacterium. RNAcentral's name for it is "partial 16S ribosomal RNA". It matches the Rfam family "Bacterial small subunit ribosomal RNA", at positions 330 to 792 of the family's 1533-position model. The record is from RNAcentral.